This 491-nucleotide ribosomal RNA is filed under the name uncultured bacterium. RNAcentral describes it as "partial 16S ribosomal RNA". It matches the Rfam family "Bacterial small subunit ribosomal RNA", at positions 29 to 506 of the family's 1533-position model. The record is from RNAcentral.
AGUGAACGCUGGCGGUAGGCCUAACACAUGCAAGUCGAACGGCAGCACAGUAAGAGCUUGCUCUUACGGGUGGCGAGUGGCGGACGGGUGAGGAAUACAUCGGAAUCUACUUUUUCGUGGGGGAUAACGUAGGGAAACUUACGCUAAUACCGCAUACGACCUACGGGUGAAAGCAGGGGAUCUUCGGACCUUGCGCGAUUGAAUGAGCCGAUGUCGGAUUAGCUAGUUGGCGGGGUAAAGGCCCACCAAGGCGACGAUCCGUAGCUGGUCUGAGAGGAUGACCGCCCACAGUGGAACUGAAACCCGUCCCAACCCCUUAGGGGGGGCAGCAGGGGGAAAUUUGGGACAUGGGGCGCAACCCUGACCCACCCAUCCCGGGGGGGUAAAGAAGCCCUUCGGUUGGUAAACCCCUUUUUUUGGGAAAAAAAAGCAGCAGGUUAAAACCCCGCUUUUUUGACGGAACCAAAAAAAAAAGCACCGGCUAAUUUCGU